Molecule: transfer RNA, 279 nt
Filed under: Streptococcus agalactiae
Lineage: Bacteria; Bacillati; Bacillota; Bacilli; Lactobacillales; Streptococcaceae
Description: 16S-23S ribosomal RNA intergenic spacer
Rfam family: tRNA (bases 53-125)
Source: RNAcentral
AAGGAUAAGGAAACCUGCCAUUUGCGUCUUGUUUAGUUUUGAGAGGUCUUGUGGGGCCUUAGCUCAGCUGGGAGAGCGCCUGCUUUGCACGCAGGAGGUCAGCGGUUCGAUCCCGCUAGGCUCCAUUGAAUCGAAAGGUUCAAAUUGUUCAUUGAAAAUUGAAUAUCUAUAUCAAAUUCCACGAUCUAGAAAUAGAUUGUAGAAAGUAACAAGAAAAUAAACCGAAAACGCUGUGAAUAUUUAAUGAGUUUUCUAGUUUUAAAGAAACUAGGUUAAUAA